CUCUGCCUCGGGGAGGGGUGAAUCGAGCACUCUGGAUCAGCCUCGCCUGGCCCUGAGGCGCUGAGGUCUGAGGUGUGAGGGCCCCUAGAUGGUGGCCCGUCCCUGACAGACCCCAAAGCGCCUCGGGACAUAUGGACAAUCCUACUGACCUUGGGAGAUUGAGGACCAGACCAUUUUCAACAAUGUUUAACUCAGAUGAUUGCCCUUUUUCACUGAAUAGUUUGUUUUUUGUAAGACCAGAUCAAACUGAAGAGUAUACUGGUGAUAAAAAACCAUCAUGUGGGUUUCUCCCACCUGCUCCAUUGAUUUCUGAAAUUCCAGAUACUCAGGUGUUACAAGAAGAAUUAGAAAGAUUCACACCAUUAGGUAAAAUUUGCUUAUUUCUUGAAGGUGAAAGAAAACUUUUAAUGAACCUAUAAAUCCCCUAUCCAAAGAAAAAACUAUC
This 445-nucleotide long non-coding RNA is filed under the name Monodelphis domestica (gray short-tailed opossum). RNAcentral describes it as "lncRNA (ENSMODG00000034366.2)". Lineage: Eukaryota; Metazoa; Chordata; Mammalia; Didelphimorphia; Didelphidae. The record is from RNAcentral.